Molecule: non-coding RNA, 30 nt
Filed under: Homo sapiens (human)
Lineage: Eukaryota; Metazoa; Chordata; Mammalia; Primates; Hominidae
Source: RNAcentral
GAGGAGAUAAUCUCCAGGAUGCCUGUGAAG